GCAACAAUAAAUAUAUAAUAUGUUGAAAGUAUAACCUUCUCUUCAAAAUUUCGUGUUAUCGAUAAAAGAUUUAACAUAAUGGAAAAUUCAUCAAAGGAACUAAACGAAGAUAGAUUUCUUGUUGGUGACAAAUUAUUUUACUAGAAACAAGUAUUUACGUGUACCGGAGCUGUGGAACAUAACCUCAAGAUAUCCAUGGUGAUGAUGCCUUAUGUGCUGUUAAAAAAGUGAUGAUAAUAUUUAUAUUGUAAAUGCCUGUUCCAUGAAGAGACCAUGAAAAACUACAUUCAGAACGGAAGAUUUAAAAUAAUUUACAAAUACUGAAGCAUGUUACCGGGACAGAAAUUGCUACUUUAACAUAACCCAUACAAAUCUUAAUAAAGUUGUAACAUUAGUAAAAAUAUGCUAAAACUAUUUUAUGAUCUUUUUAUUAGCAAUAGAAAAAAAAACAAAUUAUUAGUAUGGUAGUGUUUUAUUUCCUGUUUUACACUUCCUCAGAUAGUAAACUGCUUAUUAACAAGUUUAGCAAAUUUGUUAGGUGACAAGCAAGCAAUGAAUCA
Molecule: long non-coding RNA, 560 nt
Organism: Papilio polytes (common Mormon)
Lineage: Eukaryota; Metazoa; Arthropoda; Insecta; Lepidoptera; Papilionidae
Exons: 2
Source: RefSeq, a predicted model, not a curated record